Rhodamnia argentea is the source of this 227-nucleotide long non-coding RNA. RefSeq lists it as uncharacterized. NCBI's taxonomy places the organism in Eukaryota, Viridiplantae, Streptophyta, Magnoliopsida, Myrtales, Myrtaceae. The transcript is spliced from 3 exons. The record is from RefSeq and is a predicted model, not a curated record.
CUACCUUCUUAGCAUUGACCACAACAUUGCUGAUAUCUCUUAGUAGAGAACUGACUCGACUGCCUGCCCAUCCAGGCUUCUCGUGGUGGCGUUGUUAUGGUGCAUCUCUGUGACAAGUUGGUUGGCUUCUCUCUGUCCGACUAUCUCUUCAUCCAGUUCACUUAAGGAAAUAAAGUCAGUAAAAAAAAAAUGACAUAAUCAGAGACUAGAAACACAUAAUGAAUGAA